RNAcentral lists this ribosomal RNA (305 nucleotides) under uncultured bacterium. Its description in RNAcentral is "bacterial SSU rRNA". It matches the Rfam family "Bacterial small subunit ribosomal RNA", at positions 336 to 655 of the family's 1533-position model. The record is from RNAcentral.
UUCCUACGGGGCGCAGCAGUGGGGAAUAUUGGGCAAUGGGCGCAAGCCUGACCCAGCAACGCCGCGUGAAGGAAGAAGGCUUUCGGGUUGUAAACUUCUUUUCUCAGGGACGAAGAAAGUGACGGUACCUGAGGAAUAAGCCACGGCUAACUACGUGCCAGCAGCCGCGGUAAUACGUAGGUGGCAAGCGUUAUCCGGAUUUACUGGGUGUAAAGGGAGCGUAGACGGAAUUGCAAGUCUGAUGUGAAAAUCCGGGGCCCAACCCCGGACCUGCAUUGGAAACUGUAUUUCUAGAGUGUCGGAGG